RNAcentral lists this ribosomal RNA (253 nucleotides) under uncultured bacterium. Its description in RNAcentral is "partial 16S ribosomal RNA". It matches the Rfam family "Bacterial small subunit ribosomal RNA", at positions 524 to 776 of the family's 1533-position model. The record is from RNAcentral.
UACGAAGGGGGCUAGCGUUGUUCGGAAUUACUGGGCGUAAAGCGAACGUAGGCGGUGUUCCAUGUCAGAGGUGAAAGCCUGGGGCUCAACUCCAGAAUUGCCUUUGAAACGGGAACGCUUGAGUCCGAGAGAGGAUGGCGGAAUUCCUAGUGUAGAGGUGAAAUUCGUAGAUAUUAGGAAGAACACCAGUGGCGAAGGCGGCCAUCUGGCUCGGUACUGACGCUCAGGUUCGAAAGCGUGGGGAGCAAACAGG